UACGUAGGGGGCAAGCGUUGUCCGGAUUUAUUGGGCGUAAAGGGCGCGUAGGCGGAUAAGGAAGUCAGAUGUGAAAUCCCGGAGCUCAACCCCGGAACUGCAUUUGAAACUUAGUAUCUAGAGGGUAGGCGGAGAAAACGGAAUUCCACAAGUAGCGGUGAAAUGCGUAGAUAUCGGGAGGAACACCUAUGGCGAAGGCAGCUCGCUGGGACGUUACUGACGCUGAGACGCGAAAGCCAGGGGAGCGAACGGG
RNAcentral lists this ribosomal RNA (253 nucleotides) under uncultured bacterium. Its description in RNAcentral is "partial 16S ribosomal RNA". It matches the Rfam family "Bacterial small subunit ribosomal RNA", at positions 524 to 776 of the family's 1533-position model. The record is from RNAcentral.